This 253-nucleotide ribosomal RNA is filed under the name uncultured bacterium. Its description in RNAcentral is "partial 16S ribosomal RNA". It matches the Rfam family "Bacterial small subunit ribosomal RNA", at positions 524 to 776 of the family's 1533-position model. The record is from RNAcentral.
UACGGGGGGGGCAAGCGUUGUUCGGAAUUACUGGGCGUAAAGGGCUCGUAGGCGGCCAACUAAGUCAGACGUGAAAUCCCUCGGCUUAACCGGGGAACUGCAUCUGAUACUGGAUGGCUUGAGUUCGGGAGAGGGAUGCGGAAUUCCAGGUGUAGCGGUGAAAUGCGUAGAUAUCUGGAGGAACACCGGUGGCGAAGGCGGCUCACUGGACCGGAACUGACGCUGAGGCGCGAAAGCGUGGGGAGCAAACGGG